GCAAACUUGGUCAUUUAGAGGAAGUAAAAGUCGUAACAAGGUUUCCGUAGGUGAACCUGCGGAAGGAUCAUUAACAAAUCUAUCCUACUACCUGUGCAAACGUUCGCGUCGCUGGCAGCAAGCCCCAAAGGGUGGACCACGCGUGUGGUCCAGCUGCCAGCGACUGCACCAUUACAUUAUGUGCUUUGAUGGUCAGAUGUAACUGGAAACUGAAUGACAACUUUUAACAAUGGAUCUCUUGGCUCUUGCAUCGAUGAAGAACGCAGC
RNAcentral lists this unclassified non-coding RNA (267 nucleotides) under uncultured fungus. RNAcentral describes it as "partial contains small subunit ribosomal RNA, internal transcribed spacer 1, and 5.8S ribosomal RNA". The stretch from base 1 to 73 matches the Rfam family "Eukaryotic small subunit ribosomal RNA", at positions 1759 to 1831 of the family's 1831-position model. The record is from RNAcentral. Lineage: Eukaryota; Fungi.